RNAcentral lists this ribosomal RNA (497 nucleotides) under uncultured bacterium. Its description in RNAcentral is "partial 16S ribosomal RNA". It matches the Rfam family "Bacterial small subunit ribosomal RNA", at positions 28 to 507 of the family's 1533-position model. The record is from RNAcentral.
GAUGAACGCUGGCGGCGUGCCUAAUACAUGCAAGUCGAGCGAACAGACGAGGAGCUUGCUCCUCUGACGUUAGCGGCGGACGGGUGAGUAACACGUGGAUAACCUACCUAUAAGACUGGGAUAACUUCGGGAAACCGGAGCUAAUACCGGAUAAUAUAUUGAACCGCAUUGUUCAAUAGUGUAAUACGGUUUUUCUUUCACUUAUAGAUGGAUCCGCGCCGCAUUAGCUAGUUGGUAAGGUAACGGCUUACCAAGGCAACGAUGCGUAGCCGACCUGAGAGGGUGAUCGGCCACACGGGAACUGAGACACGGUCCAGACUCCUACGGGAGGAAGCAGUAGGGAAUCUUCCGCAAUGGGCGAAAGCUUGACGGAGCAACGCCGCGUGAGUGAUGAAGGUCUUCGGAUCGUAAAACUCUGUUAUUAGGGAAGAACAAAUGUGUAAGUAACUAUGCACGUCUUGACGGUACCUAAUCAGAAAGCCACGGCUAACUACGUG